CUCCUCUUGAAAAAUAAGAGGUACCGUCUGCUCAAUGCAAUUUGUAAAUAGCCGCAGUAUUCUGACUGUGCUAAGGUAGCAUAAUCAUUAGUCUUUUAAUUGAAGGCUGGUAUGAAUGACGAGACGAGAAAGUAGCUGUCUCUUCAAUAAAUCUUGAACUUUAUUUUUAAGUGAAAAAGCUUAAAUAUUUUUGAAGGACGAUCAGACCCUUUGGAGCUUUAUUUAUUUAGAAAUUUAAAUCUAUUUAAGAUGAUUAGAUGAAAAAUAAAUUUUGUUGGGGCGACAGGGAGUUAAAAUAUCACUCUUUUUUUUAAACAAUUAUAAUUGGAAAAUUGAUCCUUAAAGAGAGAUUAAAAGACUAAGUUACCCUAGGGAUAACAGCGUAAUCCUUUUGGAGAGUUCAAAUCGAUAAAAGGGUUUGCGACCUCGAUGUUGGAUUAAGAGAUUAGCAAGGUGCAGAAGUUUUGCAAGAGAGUCUGUUCGACUCU
Molecule: ribosomal RNA, 488 nt
Filed under: Daphnia salinifera
Lineage: Eukaryota; Metazoa; Arthropoda; Branchiopoda; Diplostraca; Daphniidae
Description: partial 16S ribosomal RNA
Rfam family: Bacterial large subunit ribosomal RNA
Source: RNAcentral